Molecule: unclassified non-coding RNA, 271 nt
Filed under: fungal sp.
Lineage: Eukaryota; Fungi
Description: partial internal transcribed spacer region
Rfam family: Eukaryotic small subunit ribosomal RNA (bases 1-46)
Source: RNAcentral
AAGUCGUAACAAGGUUUCCGUAGGUGAACCUGCGGAAGGAUCAUUAACACUUUUUUUUUCCUCCUUUAUUUGAAGGGAAAAAAAAAUCUAUCCACCCCUAUUUGAACGAACGAUGAUUUAUUAUCCCAAUAUUUCAUUUAUUAUUUUUUCACCCCUUUUACUAUUUACAAAAAUGCCUGAUAUCAAAAAAAGAGUUUUUAUACAAAGCUCUUUUUGUUGAAAUAAGAAUAAUGUUGAAAAACAACUCUUAACAACGGAUAUCUUGGCUCUC